UGUGUAGACCAGGUUCUCCUCGAACCCAGA
Molecule: non-coding RNA, 30 nt
Filed under: Mus musculus (house mouse)
Lineage: Eukaryota; Metazoa; Chordata; Mammalia; Rodentia; Muridae
Source: RNAcentral